Hippopotamus amphibius kiboko is the source of this 192-nucleotide long non-coding RNA. RefSeq lists it as uncharacterized. The record is from RefSeq and is a predicted model, not a curated record. The transcript has 3 exons. Lineage: Eukaryota; Metazoa; Chordata; Mammalia; Artiodactyla; Hippopotamidae.
AAUCCCAGGGAAUUUUAACUAGAACUGCUCUGCAAUGUCUGUGUCUGAAAAGGAAAGUGAGGACAAACAAAAUGGAGGUGAAGAAAAUGAGUCUCAGAAAGGUUAAGUAACUUCCUCAAGGCUAUAUAGCUGAACAAGAGAGAUAUCUGCAAGCCAACAACAGAGAAUUUAACAGUCUGUUUGGAUAUCCGG